AAUGAUUUUCUAGAUAAUUGAAACUUAACAUGUUAACUGUGAAGACUUUAAAAAACUGAUGCGGUGAACUAUGCAGAUCAGAGGUCCACAAUAAGUUCAGUGUCAAUAUAGUGAGUCCUUAGGAGAAGGGAGGCCACCAAGUUGUCUAAGGAGGGGUGAAUUGGCCUAGAUUGGAAAUGGACCAGGUCAAAAGUCCUGUGCUGAUCAGUCGUGAGAUCGGGUCUGUAACUAGCCUCUGGACCUCCAGCUUGGGCAAGAUAAAGAGACCCAGUCU
Molecule: non-coding RNA, 274 nt
Filed under: Phascolarctos cinereus (koala)
Lineage: Eukaryota; Metazoa; Chordata; Mammalia; Diprotodontia; Phascolarctidae
Source: RNAcentral